GCUAACACAUGCAAGUCGAGCGGAUGAAGAGAGCUUGCUUUCUGAUUCAGCGGCGGACGGGUGAGUAAUGCCUAGGAAUCUGCCUGAUAGUGGGGGACAACGUUUCGAAAGGAACGCUAAUACCGCAUACGUCCUACGGGAGAAAGCAGGGGACCUUCGGGCCUUGCGCUAUCAGAUGAGCCUAGGUCGGAUUAGCUAGUUGGUGAGGUAACGGCUCACCAAGGCGACGAUCCGUAACUGGUCUGAGAGGAUGAUCAGUCACACUGGAACUGAGACACGGUCCAGACUCCUACGGGAGGCAGCAGUGGGGAAUAUUGGACAAUGGGCGAAAGCCUGAUCCAGCCAUGCCGCGUGUGUGAAGAAGGUCUUCGGAUUGUAAAGCACUUUAAGUUGGGAGGAAGGGCAUUAACCUAAUACGUUAGUGUUUUGACGUUACCGACAGAAUAAGCACCGGCUAACUUCGUGCCAGCAGCCGCGGUAAUACGAAGGGUGCAAGCGUUAAUCGGAAUUACUGGGCGUAAAGCGCGCGUAGGUGGUUUGUUAAGUUGAAUGUGAAAGCCCCGGGCUCAACCUGGGAACUGCAUCCAAAACUGGCAAGCUAGAGUAUGGCAGAGGGUGGUGGAAUUUCCUGUGUAGCGGUGAAAUGCGUAGAUAUAGGAAGGAACACCAGUGGCGAAGGCGACCACCUGGGCUAAUACUGACACUGAGGUGCGAAAGCGUGGGGAGCAAACAGGAUUAGAUACCCUGGUAGUCCACGCCGUAAACGAUGUCGACUAGCCGUUGGGAUCCUUGAGAUCUUAGUGGCGCAGCUAACGCAUUAAGUCGACCGCCUGGGGAGUACGGCCGCAAGGUUUAAAACUCAAAUGAAUUGACGGGGGCCCGCACAAGCGGUGGAGCAUGUGGUUUAUUUCGAAGCAACGCGAAAACCCUUACCAGGCCUUGACAUGCAGAGAACUUUCCAGAGAUGGAUUGGUGCCUCGGGAACU
Molecule: ribosomal RNA, 986 nt
Filed under: bacterium enrichment culture clone aHCH4_H3
Lineage: Bacteria
Description: bacterial SSU rRNA
Rfam family: Bacterial small subunit ribosomal RNA
Source: RNAcentral